RNAcentral lists this ribosomal RNA (468 nucleotides) under uncultured bacterium. Its description in RNAcentral is "bacterial SSU rRNA". It matches the Rfam family "Bacterial small subunit ribosomal RNA", at positions 355 to 852 of the family's 1533-position model. The record is from RNAcentral.
CUGGGAAUAUUGCGCAAUGGACGAAAGUCUGACGCAGCGACGCCGCGUGGAGGAUGAAGGCCUAAGGGUCGUAAACUCCUUUUGCCAAGCCGUUCACAGCUUGGAGAAUAAGCCUCUACUAACUACGUGCCAGAAGUCUCGGUAAUACGUAGGAGGCAAGCAUUAUCCGGAUUUAUUGGGCGUAAAGUGUGCGUAGGCGUCUUGUCGCGUCCUGUCUUAAAGACCAAGGCUUACCCUUGGGACUGGAUAGGAUACGGACAAGAUGGAGGAUUGGCAGGGAUGCCGGAACAGUAUGUGUAGCAGUGAAAUGCGUUGAUAUAUACUGGAACACCGAUGGCGAAGGCAGGCAUCUGGGCUUUCUGACGCUGAGGCACGAAGCUAGGGUAGCGAAACAGAUUAGAUACCUGUGUAGUCCUAGCCGUAAACGAUGUCCGACUAGCUGUGGCUCGCAGAGCGAACAAGCAUAAU